GAUGAACGCUGGCGGCGUGCCUAACACAUGCAAGUCGAACGGACUCAUAUUGAAACCUAGUGAUUUAUGAGUUAGUGGCGGACGGGUGAGUAACGCGUGGAAAACCUGCCGUAUACCGGGGGAUAACACUUAGAAAUAGGUGCUAAUACCGCAUAAGCGCACAGCUUCGCAUGAAGCAGUGUGAAAAACUCCGGUGGUAUACGAUGGUUCCGCGUCUGAUUAGCUAGUUGGCGGGGUAACGGCCCACCAAGGCGACGAUCAGUAGCCGGCCUGAGAGGGUGGACGGCCACAUUGGGACUGAGACACGGCCCAA
Molecule: ribosomal RNA, 313 nt
Filed under: uncultured bacterium
Lineage: Bacteria
Description: bacterial SSU rRNA
Rfam family: Bacterial small subunit ribosomal RNA
Source: RNAcentral